UUCUUUUCUUGUGUCUAAAAAGUAAGACCUGCCCACUGAUGAAUUGAAGGGCCGCAGUAUUUUGACUGUGCUAAGGUAGCGUAAUCAUUAGUCUCUUAAUUAGGGAAUAGUAUGAACGGUUAAACAGGCAAUUAUUUUAUCUGUUAAACAAAAAUGAAUUUGAAUUUUAAGUGAAAAUGCUUAACUUUUCUUAUUAGACGAUAAGACCCUAUAGAGGUUAAAUAGCAAGGCACUUAAGGAAUUUGGGGGGAUUUCUUAAAUGCCUUGCUAUUUUAAUUGGGGCAAUUAGAGAAUAUAAAUAACUUCUUUAAAUUAUUUUACGAAUUAAAAUUUGAUCUUAAAUUUUAAAACUAAAAAGUUACCUUAGGGAUAACAGCGUAAUAUUUUUGGAGAGACCAUAUCGAUAAAAAUGUUUGCGACCUCGAUGUUGAAUUAAAAUAUCUCGUUAGGGCAGUAUUUAACCAAGAGAGUCUGUUCGACUUUUAAAUUUUU
Molecule: ribosomal RNA, 492 nt
Filed under: Heteromurus major
Lineage: Eukaryota; Metazoa; Arthropoda; Collembola; Entomobryomorpha; Entomobryidae
Description: partial 16S ribosomal RNA
Rfam family: Bacterial large subunit ribosomal RNA
Source: RNAcentral